CAGAACUGUACACAAAAUGUCUUAAGGACCCAGUAACCACAAUGAUGUGAUCACUCACCUAGAGCCAGACAUUCUGGAGUGUGAAGUCAAGUGGGUCUUGGGAAGCAUUACUAUAAACAAAGCUGGAGGUGAUGGAAUUCCAGCUGACCUAUUUCAAAUCCUAAAAGAUGAUGCUGUGAAAGUGCUGCACUCAAUAUGACAGCAAAUCUGGAAAGCUCAGCAGUGGCCACAGGACUGGAAAGGUAAGUUUUCAUUCCAAUCGCAAAGAAGGGCAAUGCCAAAGAACGUUCAGAUUUCUGUACAAUUGCACAUUUUAUAUGUUAGCAAGAUUAUGCUCAAAAUACUUCAAGCUAGGCUUCAGCAGUACGGUGAGCCUAGAAAUUCCAGACGUACAAGCUGGAUUUAGAAAACACGGGAACCAGAGAUCAAAUUGCCAACAUCCGCUGGAUCAUUGAAAAAGCAAGGGAAUUCCAAGAAAAAUCUACUACUACUAAGCUAAAGCCUUUGACUGUGUUGAUCACAAUAAACUGGAAAAUUCUUCAAGCGAUGGGAAUACCACACCACCUUAACUGUCUCCUGAGAAACCUGUAUGCAGGACAAAAAGCAACAAUUAGAACCAGACGUGGAACAACAGACUGCUUCAAAAUUGGGAAAGGAAUACAUCAAGGCUGUAUAUUGUCACCCUGCUUAUUUAACUUCUAUGCAGAGUACAUCAUGAGAAAUGCUGGGCUGGAUGAAUCACAAGCUGGAAGGAAUCAAGAUUGCCAGGAGCAGUAUCAACAACCUCAGAUAUGCAGAUGAUACCGUUUAAUGGCAGAACAUGAAGAGGAACUAAAGAGCCUCUUGAUGAGGGUGAAAAGGGAGAGUGAAAAAGCUGGCUUAACAUUCAAAAAAUGGUCAUGGCAUCCAGUCCCAUCACUUCGUGGCAAACAGAAGGGGAAACAGUGGAAACUAUGACAUUUUAUUUUCGUGGGCUCCAGAAUCACUGCAGACAGUGACUGCAUUCAUGAAAUUAAGACGCUUGUUCUUUGGAAUAAAAGCUAUGACAAACCUAGACAGCAUAUUAAAAGCAGAGACACCACUUUGCUGACAAAGGUUCAUCUAGUCAAAGCUAUGGUUUUUCCAGUAGUCACAUAAGGAUGUGAGAGUUGGACCAUAAAGAAGGCUAAACACCGAAGAAAUGAUGCUUUUGAAUUGUGGUGCUGGAGAAGACUCUUCAGAGUCUCUUGGACAACAAGGAGAUCAAACCAGGCGAUCCUAAAGGAAAUCAACCCUGAAUAUUCAUUGAAAGGACUGAUGCUAAAGCUGAAGCUCCAAUACUCUGGCUACCUGGUGUGAAGAGCGGACUCAUUGGAAAAGACCCUGAUUUGGGGGAAGAUUGAGGGCAAGAGGAGAAGGGGGCGACUGAGGAUGAGACGGUUGGAUGGCAUCACCGAUUCAAUGGACAGUUUGAGCAAAUUCAGGGAGAUAGGGAGUUCCUCAUGCAAAAUCAUCAACUAUCACAACAAAGCACGAGCCCUAGUACUGGCUGCAACUCACCUGGUCCCGGCCCUCGGCCAUCACUCUCCAAUGGCUUUUAGGGUGUCCAACGUUCACACCCAUCCGGGAGCCUGCCUUCUCUGAGGCCACCAACGGUUGCGGGACACGCAACGCCCCCCCCGCCUCCCCACAACGCCACCCCCCCCCCCCCCAGCCUCCCCGCAACGCUACCCUCUCCCAGUCUCGAGGCAGAUGUGCAACUGCCCGUGCAUGGCGCCGACGCCUGGCGUGUGCGUGACGCUGACGUCCAGCGCUUGCUCUACGCCAUGCGUAUGCGCCUUAGAACAUCACGAGCCCCGCGUCUUGCCCGAGUCGGAUGUGCUGGCGUCAGUGUGUCAGGCAGAGGCGAGGCCGUCAAACCCGGCUGUGUGAGGCCCGCCCUGGGCCCACCCUGGGGACUGAGGCCUCGAGGGUCCCACACCCUAGGGCUCGUGGAAGGCGUUGGAAUCCAAGCAGAGAAGCAGGGAUUUUUUUGUUUGUUUUCCGCCGGAGUCUGCGUGUUCAGCCUCGACACCAGUGAAACUUUUUCCCCGGUUGUUUCCAGCUCUUGUGGCUUACAGAAAGCUUUUUUGUAUGAAUGUCCUUAAUGGUGUGGUGCAUUUACAUUUGCAAGACCGACGACCCACAAGGGAAGUUGCAUGCGUUAAGUGUCUUCUCCAGGUAAUUUCCCCUGAAGGCCCAGCCCUUUGUAGGCCUCUCACAACCUGAGGCCUCUUGUCUUUCGCAGCUUCACAGCUUUUAUUUUUUCUGCUGGUUUAUCUGUGUUGGUGGUGUAGUUGUUCAGUCGUGUCCGAACCGCCUCUUGCGACCCCAUGGACUGUAGCCUGCAAGGCUCCUCUGUCCAUGGGAUUUAUCUGUGCUAGGCUUGGUUUAUGGUAUUUCUUGAAAGGUUUUGGGGUUUCCUCUCACGUUUAAGAGAAUUCUUCCCCCUCUACCCAAUUCUCUUGUAUUUUGUCGGACUGUUCUUUUCUGUGUCCCCACUCCGUGUGGGAAGUAUUUUAGUAUCAGCAGUAAGGCAGGAGUCAAAUUUUGGUUUUGGUUUUUGCAGAUGGAAAGUCACUUAUGCCAGCCCCAUUAUUUAUUUUUUUAAACUUAAUUUGGGCUGUGCUGGAUCUUUGCUGAGGCGCAGGCCUCUUGGUUGCUGCAGGCAAGCGUUCUUCAGUUGUGGGGGUGGGGACUUCUCUGUAUGGCAGCGGUGCGCCGGCCUCUCACUGUGUCCCAGUCUCAUUUAUUAAUGACCCACGUUGGCCUGUAUUUAUUUUUCACUCUAUUUAGUUUUCAACUUGUUGGGCUUGAGGUGAUGCUUGCAUGUAUCGGUGGAGACAUCAUGUUACCUGCUGGACAGGUGAUUCUGAUGCGAAGGGUGCGGUUCUAGGUGAAACAAACAUUGGGGGCAUCAUCAGCAUAUAGAUGGAUCAAUCUUCCUUGCUGUUUUUCUUAUUAAAAUAUUUUCCCAAACUGUUCUUAGAAUUUCUUCUCACAUGAAAUUUAAAAUCAUGAUAGUCCAACUUUCUCCCAUUCCUGCGCACCCCCAACCAAGUUCCACUGGGAUUUAAAUUUAAAUUGUGCUAAAUUUAGAUGUAAGUUAAGGGGAGGGUUGAUAUUUUUAUGAUUUUAAAUUUCCCUAGAUGAUAUGAAAUGGUUUUCCAUUUGUUUGAAUCCUUUACAUGUUCUAAUAAGAUUUUACUAUUUCUUCAUAUGGGUUCUGUAACUUUCUCAUUUUAUUCCUAUAUAAUCACUAUUGUGAAUGCAAUUUUCUUCCCCAUUUAUAUUCCUAGUUAUUAAUAUGUAAAAAGCAGAUUGUUUAACAUAAUUUAUUUUCUAUCUUAUGAACUCUGGUAAUUUUAAAAAUAA
Bos taurus (domestic cattle) is the source of this 3393-nucleotide long non-coding RNA. The record is from Ensembl. Lineage: Eukaryota; Metazoa; Chordata; Mammalia; Artiodactyla; Bovidae.